UGGGGAAUAUUGGACAAUGGGCGCAAGCCUGAUCCAGCCAUGCCGCGUGAGUGAUGAAGGCCCUAGGGUUGUAAAGCUCUUUCACCGGUGAAGAUAAUGACGGUAACCGGAGAAGAAGCCCCGGCUAACUUCGUGCCAGCAGCCGCGGUAAUACGAAGGGGGCUAGCGUUGUUCGGAUUUACUGGGCGUAAAGCGCACGUAGGCGGACUUUUAAGUCAGGGGUGAAAUCCCGGGGCUCAACCCCGGAACUGCCUUUGAUACUGGAAGUCUUGAGUAUGGUAGAGGUGAGUGGAAUUCCGAGUGUAGAGGUGGAAUUCGUAGAUAUGCGGGGGAACACCAGUGGCGAAGGCGGCUCACUGGACCAUUACUGACGCUGAGGUGCGAAAGCGUGGGGAGCAAACAGG
Molecule: ribosomal RNA, 404 nt
Filed under: Actinomycetes bacterium
Lineage: Bacteria; Bacillati; Actinomycetota; Actinomycetes
Description: Actinobacteria bacterium partial 16S ribosomal RNA
Rfam family: Bacterial small subunit ribosomal RNA
Source: RNAcentral